Molecule: ribosomal RNA, 253 nt
Filed under: uncultured bacterium
Lineage: Bacteria
Description: partial 16S ribosomal RNA
Rfam family: Bacterial small subunit ribosomal RNA
Source: RNAcentral
GACGGAGGAUGCAAGCGUUAUCCGGAAUCAUUGGACGUAAAGCGUACGUAGGCGGCUUAUCAAGUCUGGGGUCAAAGACCACAGCUUAACUGUGGAAAGGCCUUGGAAACUAGUGAGCUGGAGUGAGGUAGGGGUUGCGGGAAUUCCCGGUGUAGCGGUGAAAUGCGUAGAUAUCGGGAAGAACACCUGAGGCGAAAGCGCGCGACUGGGCCUUAACUGACGCUGAGGUACGAAAGCUAGGGGAGCGAAGGGG